UCGCUCGGGUUUCUCUUCAGCACGCACAAAUCUUUCGCCUUUAACUAAAGAUUUCCAUGGAGAGGAACGCACCUGAGUGUGUGCUAUUUUUGGAUGCUCCGUCCACACGACGGGGCA
Molecule: small nuclear RNA, 117 nt
Organism: Conger conger (European conger)
Lineage: Eukaryota; Metazoa; Chordata; Actinopteri; Anguilliformes; Congridae
Product: U5 spliceosomal RNA
Exons: 1
Source: RefSeq, a predicted model, not a curated record